GGGUGUGAGGACCAUCUGCCUACAACAUUUAUCCUGUUGAUUGCCAGGAUUGGUUUGGUUGAUCUGCCUGGCUAGAUGGGUGUCCUGUUUCUCUCUGACUGCCCUGUAGACAUUAGUAGAACAAUGGGGUUUGUCAAACUUCCAAACAUUUAAGUGAAGUCCUGCGUAUGGCAGUCUGCGUUUCU
This 185-nucleotide small nuclear RNA is filed under the name Mustela putorius furo (domestic ferret). Its description in RNAcentral is "7SK RNA". It matches the Rfam family "7SK RNA". From Rfam's summary of the family: 7SK was discovered as an abundant small nuclear RNA in the mid-70s but a possible function has only recently been suggested. Two independent studies have found that 7SK RNA binds the CDK9/cyclin T complex (known as elongation factor P-TEFb). The record is from Rfam by way of RNAcentral. Lineage: Eukaryota; Metazoa; Chordata; Mammalia; Carnivora; Mustelidae.